Molecule: ribosomal RNA, 109 nt
Filed under: TM7 phylum sp. oral taxon 350
Lineage: Bacteria; Candidatus Saccharimonadota
Also listed under: 1 other name
Source: RNAcentral
CUCGGUGCCCAUGGCGCUGAGGAAACACUCGUUCCCAUUCCGAACACGAAAGUUAAGCUCAGAAGCGGCGAAUAUACUGCGCAAGUGGGAAACUAGCACGGUGCCGAAU